Anolis carolinensis (green anole) is the source of this 75-nucleotide non-coding RNA. The record is from Rfam. NCBI's taxonomy places the organism in Eukaryota, Metazoa, Chordata, Lepidosauria, Squamata, Anolidae.
AAAAAAAGCAUUGCACCCAGGGUCUGACAGCCAGACAUUGCACCUGGAGCUUUUCUGUUUUGGAAUAAAAAUGUG